Molecule: transfer RNA, 76 nt
Filed under: Sulfurimonas denitrificans
Lineage: Bacteria; Pseudomonadati; Campylobacterota; Epsilonproteobacteria; Campylobacterales; Sulfurimonadaceae
Also listed under: 21 other names
Description: tRNA-Val
Rfam family: tRNA
About the family: Transfer RNA (tRNA) molecules are approximately 80 nucleotides in length. Their secondary structure includes four short double-helical elements and three loops (D, anti-codon, and T loops).
Source: RNAcentral
GCUCGCAUAACUCAGUUGGUAGAGUGUUACCUCGACAAGGUAAAAGUCACUGGUUCGAGUCCAGUUGUGAGCACCA